UGUUAAUUGUUAAUUUAGCGACUAGUUUUAUACAACUAGAAUAUAAACGGUCGCUAAACUCGGUCGCUAUUUUUUAGUUUAGCGACCGAAUUAGCAACCAAAACAAAAGAAUGAAUAUUCUUGAGACUCUUGGUCACAAAAUCGGUCGCUAUUAUUUAAUUUAGCGACCGAUAUUGCAACUAAUUUAUAGAUAAAUAGAAUAAUGUGGUUGGUUACUAUUUCAGUCGCUAAAGUUAUGAUCACUAAAUGGAUCGCUAAGUUAAAAAAAGAUAUUAUCUAAAUUACCCAACCUAACCCUAAGCCACCCAUACCAUUCUCAUCUCCAAUUUUCAGCUCGCGUUCACGUCUUCUUCUCUGCGCCUCUCGCCGCCUAUCAUACGAACCUCUCUCUCUAAUACCGUAUGGAUCAUGGAACCUUCUCGAAGCUUCUUCCGUCUUACUAUUCCAAUUUUGCAAAGAAGCAAAGCAAGCGUAAUCUUUUCUCCGAAACUUGAGAGAAACCAUCAUAGAAGAAACAUAGAGAGUACCUUAGAAACAAAGCAGAAGGAGUCUUUUGCUGGCAUUGAAACAGCACGCACACCAAGUGUUUGCCUUACAUGCACAACUAAAUUAAGUCAGCAACUUCAACAGAGAGCAGAGUCCCCCACUUUCUUAGGCAAGUACUUCUUCUUCCUUUUCUUUGCUUUGACAACUUUCCUUCUUCACUGUCACCAUUGCAUUCAAUUCACAUAGCCAAUGAACUUAUCAACAAGUUCGGCUUCUUGCGUCUUAAUCAAUCUUCAUCUUCCCCUUCCCCUACUAUUUGAUUGCUUUUCCCAAACUAUUUCAUAAUUUGUGUUUACGUUUCAACUUCAACAAGGAUGAUUAACUGUAAUAGAAACAGCUUAUCGCAUUAGGAAUUAGCUCUUUAAUUUGUCAUAUGUUGGCAAAUAUUCUUUUGUUACAAGAAUAGUGUUAAGAAUCAAUAGAAUGUUCCUCACCGAGUAAAGUACUUAUUCUUCAGCUUCUUACCAACACGAAAAAAUGGCUAAUUUUUUUUAUAUUGGAUUAGUGUGUGAGUUGUGUUUGGUUAUGGUGUAUACAGGUGUUAGACACAGGUGUGAGACAGGGAGAAAUUGGACCGUUCCGAGUUCUUAAAAAAUUUAUUGACCACAAAUCGGACCAUCCAAUUAGUUUUUGUCUUUUUUUUUUAUAUUUGAAAUCAAAUCGGUUCAGAUUUUUUUUUUAAUUUUUUCCUUAAAAGAAAAUGAACCCUCCGUUUUUAGAUUUUUUUUUAAAUUCUUCCCUUAAAAGAAAACGGACCCUCCGUUUUCAGAUUUUUCUUUUUUUUUAUUUUUUUUAAAUCAAAACGGACCCUUUGAGUUCUUUGCUGCAAUUCUCGCACAGUCCGAUUUUGCUUUGGCAAGUCCCUCGGUCCGAUUUGCAUGUAAACUGACACCAUACGAAUGUAAAGUUCUCAUCAUCUCCAUAACGCCAUCCAGCACCAAUAUUAGUUCCAUAAUAAAAUUAAUUUCCGCAAAAAAAUUAUGUGAUGCUAUAUAUAGAAAAUUAAUUAUUAUAAAAAUUAGUUAAUAAAAAAAAUUCUUGUGGCCUCUCACUACUUGUCAAACGCGCUCAUACUUACUACUCAGUGGACUACUAAUAAAUUAAUUUGGAAGUGAUUUAUAAUUUACUAAUAAAUUUGUUGUUUCUUUUUCAUUUUCUUAAAUUAGACUGAAAUUAAUUAGUUAAUAUUCUUGUUUCCGUAGGCAUAAAUAAAAUUCUGAAUAUACAAAUUCGGUUUUCUAAUUUUAAACAGGAGGAGCUAGAUACAAUGGCUUAAAAUAAAAAGUUAUUUAAUGAAAAAACAAAAAUAUAUAAAUACAAUAACUAACACAAAAAAUGGUACUUUUUUGUUAUUUAACAUUAUCAGUUUAACUGUUUCAAUUCAUACGGUAUCACCAAAACAAGAAAUUUAAAAACUAGUGUUGCAUUCUUUAUUACUCAUGCAUCAAAGAAUGAUUAAUGGUUUUAAUAAUAAUAAUAAUAAUAAUAAUAUGUAGGAAGAACUACUGAAGAAGUGGUGCCUGGUUUAAAUAAUUGAAUAUGAUAACUUGUAACAAAAGAAUAUUUGCCAACAUAUGACAAAUUAAAGAGCUAUAUAUAUUUAUAAAUAAAGUGUGAAUUUAUUUAUUUAUAAUAAAAAGCUUUUUCAGCAUCUAUUUAUUUAUAUUCGAUUUAAGUAGGUUUUAUUUUAUCUUUUUCUUUAGGUUUGAAGUUGAUUGCGUAGCUUCCAUUCUAUUUUCAAGUUUUGUAAUUGUGUGAGAGUGUCCAACAAAAAAAAUCAUUAAAGAGCACUCCAACACGGUUAGAAUUAUUUGCGAAAACCCACAAACAAAAGGAUGAGACAUGGAUGAAUAAGAAAUCAAAACAUGUUGAAGUGAGUCUAUCUUAAUCAAAAUUUAUAUCUCUCCAUCUGUAUGUAUUAUUUUAAUAUUGCAUUAGGACUAGUGUUUCAGCUCAUAGGGUUGUAACAUCCAAUAGAAAGAGGCCUUGCAAGUUGUAAUUAAACUAUAAAUAUAAGAGGGAAUGAAAAUAUCAUGUUAGUUUAAUUACAACUUGCAAGGCCUCAACACUAAUCCUAUGAGCUGAAACAUUAGUCCUAAUGCAAUAUUAAAAUAAUACAUAGAGAGAGAAAUAUAUAUUUUGAUUAAGAUAGAUUCACUUCAACAUGUUUUGAUUUCUUAUCCACCAUGUCUCAUCCUUGUGUUUGUAGGUCUUCGCAAAUGAUUAUAACGGUGUUGGAAUCUUCUUUAAUGACUUUUUAUACCAAACAUAUAAAUUAAAAAAUCUAUGAAUAUCAGCUACCAAUUAAAGUGUAUAAACUUAUAACAUAAAAGAUCUAAAUUUUUCUAUAACAUCACCAUAUUAGCUUUGUAUUGGGUAACGAAAAUUAAGCCAACAGUAUGAAGAGUCACUCCAAAUCCGCUGCAAUCAGAUGCUCGAUUUAACUUGCCUUGCGUACUCUUUUGUAGAAACCCAGCGUUCAAUAUUCCAAUAAGCACAGAGAGCAUACUACACAACAUCUCAUAUCCAUUGAGGUUUGACACGACUUGCACGAACUUUUCCCAACAAAUUUUUUAGUAAAGUCGCACCUCGCUUCUCAAUUUUUUCGAACCCAAUGAAGAUUUGGAGGAAAAAACUGAUGUUUACUUCAGGAUAAUCAACACAAGUAAGAAUAGUUAUAAGUUGAUAUAUAUUAUAUUUUUCAAAUUUAGAACUAAUUCUUAAUCUACCAAAGAUUAAAUGUUUCUCUAAAACCUACUUCGAACUUUUCCCACCAAAAUUUCCUAGUAGCAUUUGGUAUUUUUUUUCCACGAAGGCCACAGCUGAGAGUAAUGCCCUUUAAUAAUGUCCGAAAUUGCAUGAGCCGCGGUAGGGGAAGGUAAAUAUAUGUAGAUAUUACUUAAUAUCAAUCGGAAUACAAUAUAAAAGAUUAACUUCAAAAAAUAAAAUUAUUGUAGUCUUAUAUGGUGUUAAGGAAGUAAACUUAGAAUGAUAAGACCCUGUUCUAAUAGUAAAAACAGAAUAAAUUUAUCCUAAAUCCAAAAAAUUUGUUAAGAAAGUAAAUUUAUCCCCACAAAAUACAAAAUAGAAUCUGUUGAUGACAACAGAUCAAGCACCAAAGGAGUGAAAUCUUCUUAUAGUGAACAUCAAUAAAUUAAUGAACAAUGACAUAUUACAAAUUAAUAACUAAUCAGAAAUUAUUAAAAAAUGCUAUAAUACUCAUAAAAACUACUAAUAACUAAUCAGAAAUAUAUAUCAUUGAGAUUGGGAUAUAAUAAUAACUAAUCAAACCCAUUCAAAACAAAUUAAUAAAGAUUUUCAAAAUUUGAUUAUUUUUUAAAAAUAGUAAUUACUUUCUUAUUCAAUCAUUAUAUUCUUUAUUAUUUAUACCUGAAUAAAUAUCUAUUUUCUUAUUCUAUUAAUAAGUAGUUUAAUUGUUAUGUACAUUUAUUCUAUAUAAACGUACCCUUCUCUUGCAAAGUCCAGUUUUAGCUUCCUUUGACUUGUCUCAAUAUUUGAAGACGCGUGAGUAGAUAACCACUCCAAUUUGAUUGCCUUCGGUUUCAACUUCAUUGUUAGGUACUUGCUCUCUUGGAUUUGACACUGUUUGAGCAUUUUCAGAGAUACUUGGAUUGGGAAUUAAUGACGGAA
This is a non-coding RNA of Arachis ipaensis, 4197 nucleotides long. NCBI's taxonomy places the organism in Eukaryota, Viridiplantae, Streptophyta, Magnoliopsida, Fabales, Fabaceae. The record is from RefSeq and is a predicted model, not a curated record.